This 253-nucleotide ribosomal RNA is filed under the name uncultured bacterium. RNAcentral describes it as "partial 16S ribosomal RNA". It matches the Rfam family "Bacterial small subunit ribosomal RNA", at positions 524 to 776 of the family's 1533-position model. The record is from RNAcentral.
UACAGGGGGGGCAAUCGUUGUUCGGAAUUACUGGGCGUAAAGGGCUCGUAGGCGGCCGGCUAAGUCCGACGUGAAAUCCCCAGGCUUAACCUGGGAACUGCGUCGGAUACUGGCGGGCUUGAAUCCGGGAGAGGGAUGCGGAAUUCCAGGUGUAGCGGUGAAAUGCGUAGAUAUCUGGAGGAACACCGGUGGCGAAGGCGGCGAUCUGGGUAGAUACUGACGCUGAGGUGCGAAAGCGUGGGGAGCAAACAGG